GCAGGCAUGUGAGAGAACAGCAGAAGGAGAUCAGCUUGGAGUGUGGGUAUGCCUUUAAAUAAAUGCCCAUCAGAAGUCUGAAUGAAGUCCUGAGGGAAUCCAAGGUACCAACCCUCAGAUUGGUUCACCACAAACUCUGCCCAUGAAGCACAUGGGGUCGAAUCAGAGCUGCAGCUGCAGGCCAAUACCACAGCCACAGCAAUGCCAUAUUGAAGCCACAUCUGUGAUCUGCAUCACAUCUUGCAGAAUGCUGGAUCCUUAACCCACUGAGUGAGGACAGAGAUCGAACCUGCAUCCUCAUGGACACUAUGUCAGGUUCUUAACCUGCUAAGCCAUAAGGCGAACUCCAUACACUUUUAAUUUAAACAGCACUCUUGAAGACAUUCGUAUUCAUUAUAUACAAUCCUAUAGAAGAGUCAUGCAGAAAUUUUCAUCCACAAUUUCAGGAAGAAAAAAAUGGGGGGGCUGUUUUUUUCACACUUAAAACAAACAAACAAACAAACCCUCCCCUGUAUUGUGAAUGGUUCUGUGAGCAGAAGAGGAGAGAAUUUUUAGCCCAGUAUAUGAGAAAAUGCUAAAGGUCAUUCUUCAAGUACUAAUCAAGUUGUCUUUGAUCACCCUGGGAGUGCUCUGUUUUUAAUAUACCUGUAGCAUUUUUUAUUGAUUGCCUUCAUUCUCAAUGCAUUGAAUUUUAUUAUUUGCUUUUUUUAGGGAUAUGUGACUUAUUUAAAAUCCAAAUUGUUGGAGUGCCCAUAUAAUGAUUUUGACAGAGACUCUCAAAAAGUAUUUGUCAGCUCUUAUUAUUUCUUUAAUGUAGUCUCAUAAAUUUACCACUCAAAUAUUCUGUUCAAAUGGGGAAUUUCAUAUAUUAACUUUUUUUUUUUUGCCUUUUCAGGGCCACACCUGCGUCAUAUGGAAGUUUCCAGGCUAGGGGUGUAAUCAGAGAUACAGCUGCCAGUCUACACCACAGCCACAGCAACACAGGAUCAGAGCCAUGUCUGCAACCUACACCAUAGCUCCCAGCAAUGCCAAAUCCUUAACCCACUGAGUGAGGCCAGGGAUUGAACCUGCAUCCUCAUGGAUACUAGUUGGAUCAGUUACCACUGAGCCACAAAGGGAAUUCCAAUAUAUCAACAAUUUUUAAAGUUGCAACCAGAUGAGCAUGAAAUACCCUUAUAUUAACAGUGCAAUAGGGCUGUAAUCACUAGAUUAUACAGGAUCCUUAUACACAACCUGCUAAAAUUAUAGUAAUUUCUCCUGCAAAAUCCACUGAUAAUUAAAUUAAUUCCAAGAAUAACAAUGACUAAAGGUCAUUUUUCCUGGAUAACAGAGAAUCUAUAAGAGUCUAUAAGAGUCUUUAUUGUAGCAUUCUUUUGGAACAGUAAAACAAAAAAAUGCAUAAAAUAUAUGAAUAAAAAAAAGGCUUGCAAUCAAAAGAAAACCACACAAACAUAUAUACACAUGCAUUAAAAUAGGGGAUAGAUACAUAACUUAAGUCUAAACAUAAAUAAUGAAACGCCAGGCAAGCAAUUGAAAUAUGCAUAGCUUGAUCCCAUUUCAAUUUUAAAAGCUGCAGUAUACACAUUAGACAAAUAAACUUUGGAAAUGUAUACACAGAACACUUAUUGAUCUUUUUUUCUGGAGUCAGGGUUACAGGAUGCUGUCAUUUUUGAAAUUAUGGUCUUCAAUAUGGAUUUUGUUUUAGUAGAUGUCUUAGUUUGACAGGGCUGCCAUAACAAAGUACCACAUAUUGGCUGGUUUAACAAUAGAACUUUAUUUCUUACAAUUAUGAAGCCUACAAGUCUAAGAUCAAGGUGUCUGCAGGGUCGGUUUCAUCCUAGGCCUCUUUCCUAGGUUUGUAGAUAGCUGUCUUUUCCAUUUGUCCCGACAAGACUUUCCCUCUGUGUGUGUCUGUUUCCUAAUUUCCUCUCUUUAUGAGGACACCAGUCAUAUCAGAUGAAAGCAUAUAGUAAUAACCUCACUUUAACUUAGUUACCCUUUACAGAUCCUUCUCCAAAUACACUCACAUUUUGAGCUUCUGAGGGUUAGGACUUAAACAUAUGAAUUUUGGAGCAACAAUUUUCAGUCCAUAACAGUACAUAAUACUCUAGUGAUUAAAUAAAAAUGUGUCAUUAUGAUAUGGUAUGCAUUGUUUCCUCUCAUUUAAAGAACCCCAUUUUCCUUAGAGAUGUCCCAGUAUUGAACUAUAAAACUGAGUUUCCUAAAUUUCUUAGCACAUUUCUGGACAAUGGAUUUUAAGUGAAAUUGUUGAGAAGGACUACUGUGACAGCUGGUUAUUGUCUGAGUAUGAUGGUGUGCUUCCUUUGGCAUUUCCUCUUCUCCUCCCUCUGAGUUGUGGAUGUGACAGGUGGAUUUCUAGCAUCUAUCCUAAAGAAUAAAGGGUUGCAAGAUAGAAGUAGGACACUUUGUUAUACUGUGGAGCCAGUUGGCUUGUAGAUUUAUUUUAUGUGUGGAGAAAAAAAAAUCUUAUACAUAAGCCAUUAUUAUUUGGGUUUUCUGUUAGAUGCACUGAAACACAUUCUUUAAUAAGGAGAAUUUAAGGAAGAACACCUUAAAAAUGAUCAGUUGUUUUCUGAUAUCUGAGAUAGCCCCCUUGAUGAUAUUACAAUCAAGAUUAAUAGUAGAAAUUAAGAUAUGAUUAACAUCUUCUGGCCUUUGAGAAUUUUCACAUGACAUAUGGCUAUGCAUUUGUCUAAGAAUUUCAUGGACUUAUUUUCGUAAUUCUUGGAAUUAGAAUUACAUCAUACAUUAACAUUAAUUAAUGGAGAGAAGGUUUUCCAAAAGAACUGAGGCUAUCUCCAUAUCUUCAUGUCAUAAGCAGAGAUGACACACCUACAUUUUACAAUUAUUAUUAUGUGCAUCAUUUUAGUGUAGUGAACUCACCCAUAUUUAGUCCUUAUGUCACAUAGAAAAUAAAAAAAUGAUAUUAAAGGAUUGUGCAAUAGAACCUCUAGUCAGUAAUUUUUGACAAAAGUCGAAUAAAAUCUUUUAAAAUCUUAUGUACUUAUUUUUUAACAGGACAAAAUCAAAUUAAAUUUUGCAUGUAUUGAGACUCCAUAAUAAUAUAAGGCCCUAGGUCUUUUUUUUUUUUCUUACCCCUUAGUUUUUUGUUUUGUUUUGUUUUGUUUUUGUUUUUUGUCUUUUUAGGGCUUCACCCAUGGCAUAUGGAGGUUCCUAGGUUAGGGGUCUAAUAGGAGGUGUAGCCACUGGCCUAAGCCACAGCCACAGUAAGACGGGAUCUGAGCCAUGUCUGUGACCUACACCACAGCUCAUGGCAAUGCCGGAUCCUUAACCCACUGAGCAACGCCAGGGAUCAAACCUGCAACCUCAUGGUUCCUAGUCAGAUUCGUUUCCACUGCGUCUGCAGUUUAUCACGGGCCAUGGCAACACCAGAUCCUUAACCCAAUGAGUGAGGCCAAGGAUCAAACCCACAACCUCGUGGUUUCUAGUUGGAUUCGUUUCCUCUGUGCCAUGAUGGGAACUCCCCCCCCCCAGUUUUUUUUUUUUAAUAUGACCUUUUACCAUGAUUUUUUUUGGUCUUUGUUUUGGGAGUAUAGGCAGUGAUGCACACAUACCACCAUUCUUUAAUUAGUUCUGAUAUUUAUAACAUGUAGAAAAAGUCAAUUUAAUGGCAAUUAUAAAAUAUAAAAAGAUAUAGUUACUGAGUACCCACCAUGUGCAAGACUCUUAACAGAAACUUGGAAUUUGAUUUUAAAUUUUUAAUGUAUGUUGUACUACAUAUUCAUAGUGUAUGUGGUAAUAUGUCUAGUUUUUCAUGCUUCAUGCUAAAAUGCUUCUUCAACGUCUACCAGCUAAUAAGUAGAUGACCCAGAUUUGCCUUUACAGGGGAAUUCAAGCCUUCUUUAUUUGUUGCUGAAUUGUUUCCUUUUCUUCAAAGGAAUGAGUCAGAAAUCAGGGAAAAAUGCUGUAUUACUAAGGAGGAGCUAUUGUAAAAUCUGAAGACAAUUCAUCUACGUAACUAAAGGUGAGAGUUUUAAAAGAAUUUAAAAAAUCA
This 4036-nucleotide long non-coding RNA is filed under the name Sus scrofa (pig). RNAcentral describes it as "lncRNA (ENSSSCG00065042000.1)". Lineage: Eukaryota; Metazoa; Chordata; Mammalia; Artiodactyla; Suidae. The record is from RNAcentral.